RNAcentral lists this ribosomal RNA (490 nucleotides) under uncultured bacterium. RNAcentral describes it as "partial 16S ribosomal RNA". It matches the Rfam family "Bacterial small subunit ribosomal RNA", at positions 30 to 507 of the family's 1533-position model. The record is from RNAcentral.
AUUGAACGCUGGCGGCAGGCCUAACACAUGCAAGUCGAACGGUAACAGGAAGCAGCUUGCUGCUUUGCUGACGAGUGGCGGACGGGUGAGUAAUGUCUGGGAAACUGCCCGAUGGAGGGGGAUAACUACUGGAAACAGUAGCUAAUACCGCAUAACGUCGCAAGACCAAAGAGGGGGACCUUAGGGCCUCUUGCCAUCGGAUGUGCCCAGAUGGGAUUAGCUAGUAGGUGGGGUAACGGCUCACCUAGGCGACGAUCCCUAGCUGGUCUGAGAGGAUGACCAGCCACACUGGAACUGAGACACGGUCCAGACUCCUACGGGAGGCAGCAGUGGGGAAUAUUGCACAAUGGGCGCAAGCCUGAUGCAGCCAUGCCGCGUGUAUGAAGAAGGCCUUCGGGUUGUAAAGUACUUUCAGCGGGGAGGAAGGGAGUAAAGUUAAUACCUUUGCUCAUUGACGUUACCCGCAGAAGAAGCACCGGCUAACUCCGUG